Molecule: ribosomal RNA, 463 nt
Filed under: uncultured bacterium
Lineage: Bacteria
Description: partial 16S ribosomal RNA
Rfam family: Bacterial small subunit ribosomal RNA
Source: RNAcentral
CCAGACUCCUACGGGAGGCAGCAGUGAGGAAUAUUGGUCAAUGGGCUUACGCCUGAACCAACCAAGUCGCGUGAGGGACGACUGCCCUAUGGGUUGUAAACCUCUUUUAUAAGGGAAGAAUAAAUGCUACGUGUAGCAUGAUGCCUGUACCUUAUGAAUAAGCAUCGGCUAACUCCGUGCCAGCAGCCGCGGUAAUACGGAGGAUGCGAGCGUUAUCCGGAUUUAUUGGGUUUAAAGGGUGCGCAGGCGGCACGGCAAGCCGGCGGUCAAAUCGCGGGGCUCAACCCCGCCCAGCCGUCGGAACUGCCGGGCUAGAGUGGGCGAGAAGUGCGCGGAAUGCGUGGCGUAGCGGUGAAAUGCAUAGAUAUCACGCAGAACUCCGAUUGCGAAGGCAGCGCACCGGCGCCCUACUGACGCUCAGGCACGAAAGCGUGGGUAUCGAACAGGAUUAGAUACCCGAGUA